Molecule: ribosomal RNA, 882 nt
Filed under: Exophiala dermatitidis
Lineage: Eukaryota; Fungi; Ascomycota; Eurotiomycetes; Chaetothyriales; Herpotrichiellaceae
Description: LSU rRNA
Rfam family: Eukaryotic large subunit ribosomal RNA
Source: RNAcentral
UAGCAUAUCAAUAAGCGGAGGAAAAGAAACCAACAGGGAUUGCCUCAGUAACGGCGAGUGAAGCGGCAACAGCUCAAAUUUGAAAUCUGGCCUCUUUGGGGUCCGAGUUGUAAUUUGUAGAGGAUGUUUCGGGCACCGCUCCGGUUUAAAUUUCUUGGAACAGAAUGUCAAAGAGGGUGAGAACCCCGUCUUGGACCGGCAGUAGGGCCCAUGUGAAACUCCUUCGACGAGUCGAGUUGUUUGGGAAUGCAGCUCAAAAUGGGUGGUAAAUUUCAUCUAAAGCUAAAUAUUGGCCAGAGACCGAUAGCGCACAAGUAGAGUGAUCGAAAGAUGAAAAGCACUUUGAAAAGAGAGUUAAACAGUACGUGAAAUUGUUGAAAGGGAAGCGCUUGCAACCAGACUUGCGCGCGGCGGUUCCCCCUUCCUUUUGGUUGGGUUAUUCCGCCGUGUCCAGGCCAACAUCGGUUCUGGGGGUCGGUUAAAGGCCUGGGGAAUGUAUCUACCCUUCGGGCGUAGACUUAUAGCCCCGGGUGUCAUGCGACCUCCCGGGACCGAGGAACGCGCUUCGGCUCGGAUGUUGGCGUAAUGGUUGUCAGCGACCCGUCUUGAAACACGGACCAAGGAGUCUAACAUCUAUGCGAGUGUUUGGGUGUCAAACCCGGAACGCGGAAUGAAAGUGAACGGAGGUAGGAAGCUUCGGCUGCACUAUCGACCGAUCCUGAUGUCUUCGGAUGGAUUUGAGUAAGAGCAUAGCUGUUGGGACCCGAAAGAUGGUGAACUAUGCCUGAAUAGGGUGAAGCCAGAGGAAACUCUGGUGGAGGCUCGCAGCGGUUCUGACGUGCAAAUCGAUCGUCAAAUUUGGGUAUAGGGGCGAAAGACUAA